GUUAUUUUGGCAGAAAAGUGUAAUAAAUUUAGAAUUUAUAAAUGUAUUAUUUAAUUUAUAAUACAAAUAAUA
Molecule: transfer RNA, 72 nt
Filed under: Gasteruption tournieri
Lineage: Eukaryota; Metazoa; Arthropoda; Insecta; Hymenoptera; Gasteruptiidae
Description: tRNA-Leu
Source: RNAcentral